RNAcentral lists this ribosomal RNA (226 nucleotides) under uncultured bacterium. Its description in RNAcentral is "partial 16S ribosomal RNA". It matches the Rfam family "Bacterial small subunit ribosomal RNA", at positions 124 to 334 of the family's 1533-position model. The record is from RNAcentral.
CCUAGCCCUUCAGGGGGGGACAACAGUUGGAAACGACUGCUAAUACCGCAUACGAUCUAACCUCGGCAUCGAGGAAAGAUGAAAGGUGGCCUCUACAUGUAAGCUAUCACUGAAGGAGGGGAUUGCGUCUGAUUAGCUAGUUGGAGGGGUAACGGCCCACCAAGGCGAUGAUCAGUAGCCGGUCUGAGAGGAUGAACGGCCACAUUGGGACUGAGACACGGCCCAG